CAGAGGUUACUGCUAUCGRGRKUSGRCUAAGCCAUGCGAGUUGAAUGUUCUUCGUGAACAUGGCGGACUGCUCAGUAACACGUGGACAACCUACCCUUGGGUCCGGCAUAAUCCUGGGAAACUGGGAAUAAUUCCGGAUAGGUCACCGAUGCUGGAAUGCGCGGUGGCCGAAAGCUCCGGCGCCCGAGGAUGGGUCUGCGGCCUAUCAGGGUUGUAGUGGGUGUAACGUACCUACUAGCCUACGACGGGUACGGGUUGUGAGAGCAAGAGCCCGGAGAUGGAUUCUGAGACACGAAUCCAGGCCCUACGGGGUGCAGCAGGCGCGAAAACUUUACAAUGCGGGAAACCGUGAUAAGGGGAUCUCGAGUGCCAGCAUAUAAUGUUGGCUGUCCAGAUGCCUAAAAAGCAUCUGUUAGCAAGGGCCGGGCAAGACCGGUGCCAGCCGCCGCGGUAACACCGGCGGCCCGAGUGGUAACCGCUAUUAUUGGGUCUAAAGGGUCUGUAGCCGGCCAGGUAAGUCCCUUGGGAAAUCUGGCAGCUCAACUGUCAGGCUGCUAGGGGAUACUGUUUGGCUUGGGACCGGGAGAGGUGAGAGGUACCUUGGGGGUAGGGGUGAAAUCUUGUGAUCCUCGAGGGACCACCAGUGGCGAAGGCGUCUCACCAGAACGGGUCCGACGGUAAGGGACGAAAGCUAGGGGCACGAACCGGAUUAGAUACCCGGGUAGUCCUAGCCGUAAACGAUGCUCGCUAGGUGUCAGUCACGGUGCGACCGUGAUUGGUGCCGUAGGGAAGCCGUGAAGCGAGCCACCUGGGAAGUAUGGCCGCAAGGCUGAAACUUAAAGGAAUUGGCGGGGGAGCACUACWMCSGRUGGAGCCUGCGGUUUAAUG
Molecule: ribosomal RNA, 888 nt
Filed under: uncultured Methanosaeta sp.
Lineage: Archaea; Methanobacteriati; Methanobacteriota; Methanomicrobia; Methanotrichales; Methanotrichaceae
Description: bacterial SSU rRNA
Rfam family: Archaeal small subunit ribosomal RNA
Source: RNAcentral